GGUCUCGUGGCCGAGCGGCUAGGCGGCGGUCUGCAAAACCGUAUACAGCGGUUCGAAUCCGCUCGAGACCU
RNAcentral lists this transfer RNA (71 nucleotides) under Bacteroidota bacterium. Its description in RNAcentral is "Bacteroidetes bacterium (marine metagenome) tRNA-Cys". It matches the Rfam family "tRNA". Rfam says of the family: Transfer RNA (tRNA) molecules are approximately 80 nucleotides in length. Their secondary structure includes four short double-helical elements and three loops (D, anti-codon, and T loops). RNAcentral also lists the same sequence under 2 other names. Lineage: Bacteria; Pseudomonadati; Bacteroidota. The record is from RNAcentral.